GCGUCAGUGAUCGCCGGCCGUUGCCGCCUCCGGAGCCGAAGGUCGUGGGUUCGAAUCCCGCCUGGCGCA
Molecule: transfer RNA, 69 nt
Filed under: Gemmatimonadetes bacterium 13_2_20CM_2_69_23
Lineage: Bacteria; Pseudomonadati; Gemmatimonadota
Also listed under: 1 other name
Description: tRNA-Ser
Rfam family: tRNA
About the family: Transfer RNA (tRNA) molecules are approximately 80 nucleotides in length. Their secondary structure includes four short double-helical elements and three loops (D, anti-codon, and T loops).
Source: RNAcentral